UUGCCAGGGAAAUACGAGCCAAGCUUAAAACCCAAAGGACUUGACGGUACUUCAUACCCCCCCUAGAGGAGCCUGUCCUAUAAUCGAUAAUCCACGAUCAACCUCACCAUUAACUAGNUUUUCAGCUUGUAUACCUCCGUCGUCAGCUUACCACGUGAGCGCAACUAUAGUGAGCUUAAUGUUAUACCACCAACNCGUCNGGUCAAGGUGCAGCAUACGUUAUGGGAAGAGAUGGGCUACACUUUCUAUUAUAGAUUAUACGAAAAGCUAAAUAUGCAWUUCUAGCUGGANGGCGGAUUUAGAAGUAAAAAGAAAUCANAAUAUUCUUUUUAACCUGGCCUUGAAGNGNGNACACACCGCCCGUCACCCUCA
RNAcentral lists this ribosomal RNA (372 nucleotides) under Atelopus hoogmoedi. RNAcentral's name for it is "partial 12S ribosomal RNA". It matches the Rfam family "Bacterial small subunit ribosomal RNA", at positions 869 to 1405 of the family's 1533-position model. Lineage: Eukaryota; Metazoa; Chordata; Amphibia; Anura; Bufonidae. The record is from RNAcentral.